AGUUUGUCUCCACGAGAAUCAAUAGCAACACAGCAGCCACCCAACAGUUUGAACAUAUCCAAGGUCAAGCACGAGAUUAAUAAUCAAUCAAGGAGCUACUGUACCGCAAGAGUUGCUGUCAGGUUGAGCAGUGGCUGAUGAAGAUGAAGUGAAGAGCGGAGCUUUUGUCAAAAGUUAAAUGAAUGAACUCUUGGAUACAUGUCUUCAUACAUGUAAUCA
Long non-coding RNA from Salvia miltiorrhiza (redroot sage), 219 nucleotides. RefSeq lists it as uncharacterized. Lineage: Eukaryota; Viridiplantae; Streptophyta; Magnoliopsida; Lamiales; Lamiaceae. The transcript is spliced from 3 exons. The record is from RefSeq and is a predicted model, not a curated record.